UACGUAGGGUGCGAGCGUUGUCCGGAAUUUAUUGGGGCGUAAAAGGGCUCGUAGGCGGUCUGUCACGUCGGGAGUGAAAAACACGGGGCUUAACCCCGUGCCUGCUUCCGAUACGGGCAGACUAGAGGUAUGCAGGGGAGAACGGAAUUCCUGGUGUAGCGGUGAAAUGCGCAGAUAUCAAGGAGGAACACCGGUGGCGAAGGCGGGUUCUCUGGGCAAUUACCUGACGCUGGAGGAGCGAAAAGUGUGGGGGAGCGAAC
Molecule: ribosomal RNA, 260 nt
Filed under: uncultured bacterium
Lineage: Bacteria
Description: partial 16S ribosomal RNA
Rfam family: Bacterial small subunit ribosomal RNA
Source: RNAcentral